UACUGUCUUGGUCCUGAACCUAACAUUAUCUCCAACCGCACUCACACAUGCAAGCAUCAACCCGCCCGUGCACACGCCCAAAACCCAUACAACGGAGCAGAUAUCAGGCACACCCAUAAGUAGCCCAAAACAUCUAGCUAUGCCACCCCCCCACGGAACUCAGCAGUGGUAAACCUUAGGCCAUGAGCCACCCAUAUAAGCUCGACCUAGUGACGGUUGCCCCAAGGCCGGCAAACCCCGUGCCAGCCGCCGCGGUUAUACGGCGGGCCUAAAAUAAUACCACCCGGCGUAAAAUGUGACUAAAGCACUAGUUUAGCCCCAGAACUAAAAACUUAAGCAAAGCCGUAAAACGCACAUGCAACAAGAAUAACACCUAUACUUCUAACACUAAACUAUCUUGACCCCACGAAAGCCAAAACACAAACUAGGAUUAGAUACCCUACUAUAUUUGGCCAUAAACCUAGGCAUUCCCCUUACAAAACUGCUCGCCAGAGAACUACAGCCAAACAAAGCUCAAACUCAAAGGACUUGACGGUGUCCCACAUCAACCUAGAGGAGCCUGUCCUAUAAUCGACAAUCCCCGUUACACCUUACUCCCCCUUGCAACCCCAGCCUAUAUACCGCCGUCGCCAGCUAACCUUGUGACAGAACCAAAGUUAGCAAAAUAGCACUCACAAACACGUCAGGUCAAGGUGUAGCCCAUGGGAGGAGUAGCGAUGGGCUACAUUUUCUACAACAGAACAAACCCACAACAACAUGAAACUUUGUCUACAGGUGGAUUUAGCAGUAAACUGAACAAGAACAUUCAAUUGAAGCCUGCUCUGGGACGCGUACACACCGCCCGUCACCCUCCUCAACUAACAACACACAAUUACAUAAACCCUACUACAUAACAAGAUGAGGCAAGUCGUAACAUGGUAAGCGUACUGGAAAGUGCGCUUGGCUAA
Molecule: non-coding RNA, 947 nt
Filed under: Heteronotia binoei (common prickly gecko)
Lineage: Eukaryota; Metazoa; Chordata; Lepidosauria; Squamata; Gekkonidae
Description: small subunit ribosomal RNA
Rfam family: Bacterial small subunit ribosomal RNA
Source: RNAcentral